This 2908-nucleotide ribosomal RNA is filed under the name Salmonella enterica subsp. enterica serovar Dublin. RNAcentral describes it as "23S ribosomal RNA". It matches the Rfam family "Bacterial large subunit ribosomal RNA". The record is from RNAcentral. Lineage: Bacteria; Pseudomonadati; Pseudomonadota; Gammaproteobacteria; Enterobacterales; Enterobacteriaceae.
GGUUAAGCGACUAAGCGUACACGGUGGAUGCCCUGGCAGUCAGAGGCGAUGAAGGGCGUGCUAAUCUGCGAUAAGCGCCGGUAAGGUGAUAUGAACCGUUAUAACCGGCGAUACCCGAAUGGGGAAACCCAGUGUGACUCGUCACACUAUCAUUAACUGAAUCCAUAGGUUAAUGAGGCGAACCGGGGGAACUGAAACAUCUAAGUACCCCGAGGAAAAGAAAUCAACCGAGAUUCCCCCAGUAGCGGCGAGCGAACGGGGAGGAGCCCAGAGCCUGAAUCAGCAUGUGUGUUAGUGGAAGCGUCUGGAAAGGCGCGCGAUACAGGGUGACAGCCCCGUACACAAAAGCGCAUGUGCUGUGAGCUCGAUGAGUAGGGCGGGACACGUGGUAUCCUGUCUGAAUAUGGGGGGACCAUCCUCCAAGGCUAAAUACUCCUGACUGACCGAUAGUGAACCAGUACCGUGAGGGAAAGGCGAAAAGAACCCCGGCGAGGGGAGUGAAAAAGAACCUGAAACCGUGUACGUACAAGCAGUGGGAGCACAGGUUUACCUGUGUGACUGCGUACCUUUUGUAUAAUGGGUCAGCGACUUAUAUUCUGUAGCAAGGUUAACCGAAUAGGGGAGCCGGAGGGAAACCGAGUCUUAAUUGGGCGUUAAGUUGCAGGGUAUAGACCCGAAACCCGGUGAUCUAGCCAUGGGCAGGUUGAAGGUUGGGUAACACUAACUGGAGGACCGAACCGACUAAUGUUGAAAAAUUAGCGGAUGACCUGUGGCUGGGGGUGAAAGGCCAAUCAAACCGGGAGAUAGCUGGUUCUCCCCGAAAGCUAUUUAGGUAGCGCCUCGUGAAUUCAUCUCUCCGGGGUAGAGCACUGUUUCGGCUAGGGGGCCAUCCCGGCUUACCAACCCGAUGCAAACUGCGAAUACCGGAGAAUGUUAUCACGGGAGACACACGGCGGGUGCUAACGUCCGUCGUGAAGAGGGAAACAACCCAGACCGCCAGCUAAGGUCCCAAAGUCAUGGUUAAGUGGGAAACGAUGUGGGAAGGCCCAGACAGCCAGGAUGUUGGCUUAGAAGCAGCCAUCAUUUAAAGAAAGCGUAAUAGCUCACUGGUCGAGUCGGCCUGCGCGGAAGAUGUAACGGGGCUAAACCAUGCACCGAAGCUGCGGCAGCGACGCUUAUGCGUUGUUGGGUAGGGGAGCGUUCUGUAAGCCUGCGAAGGUGGCCUGUGAGGGUUGCUGGAGGUAUCAGAAGUGCGAAUGCUGACAUAAGUAACGAUAAAGCGGGUGAAAAGCCCGCUCGCCGGAAGACCAAGGGUUCCUGUCCAACGUUAAUCGGGGCAGGGUGAGUCGACCCCUAAGGCGAGGCCGAAAGGCGUAGUCGAUGGGAAACGGGUUAAUAUUCCCGUACUUGGUGUUACUGCGAAGGGGGGACGGAGAAGGCUAUGUUGGCCGGGCGACGGUUGUCCCGGUUUAAGCGUGUAGGUGUGUGUUCCAGGUAAAUCCGGUUCACUUUAACACUGAGGCGUGAUGACGAGGCACUACGGUGCUGAAGUAACAAAUGCCCUGCUUCCAGGAAAAGCCUCUAAGCAUCAGGUAACAUCAAAUCGUACCCCAAACCGACACAGGUGGUCAGGUAGAGAAUACCAAGGCGCUUGAGAGAACUCGGGUGAAGGAACUAGGCAAAAUGGUGCCGUAACUUCGGGAGAAGGCACGCUGACACGUAGGUGAAGUGAUUUACUCACGGAGCUGAAGUCAGUCGAAGAUACCAGCUGGCUGCAACUGUUUAUUAAAAACACAGCACUGUGCAAACACGAAAGUGGACGUAUACGGUGUGACGCCUGCCCGGUGCCGGAAGGUUAAUUGAUGGGGUCAGCGCAAGCGAAGCUCCUGAUCGAAGCCCCGGUAAACGGCGGCCGUAACUAUAACGGUCCUAAGGUAGCGAAAUUCCUUGUCGGGUAAGUUCCGACCUGCACGAAUGGCGUAAUGAUGGCCAGGCUGUCUCCACCCGAGACUCAGUGAAAUUGAACUCGCUGUGAAGAUGCAGUGUACCCGCGGCAAGACGGAAAGACCCCGUGAACCUUUACUAUAGCUUGACACUGAACAUUGAGCCUUGAUGUGUAGGAUAGGUGGGAGGCUUUGAAGUGUGGACGCCAGUCUGCAUGGAGCCGACCUUGAAAUACCACCCUUUAAUGUUUGAUGUUCUAACGUGGACCCGUUACCCGGGUUGCGGACAGUGUCUGGUGGGUAGUUUGACUGGGGCGGUCUCCUCCUAAAGAGUAACGGAGGAGCACGAAGGUUGGCUAAUCCUGGUCGGACAUCAGGAGGUUAGUGCAAUGGCAUAAGCCAGCUUGACUGCGAGCGUGACGGCGCGAGCAGGUGCGAAAGCAGGUCAUAGUGAUCCGGUGGUUCUGAAUGGAAGGGCCAUCGCUCAACGGAUAAAAGGUACUCCGGGGAUAACAGGCUGAUACCGCCCAAGAGUUCAUAUCGACGGCGGUGUUUGGCACCUCGAUGUCGGCUCAUCACAUCCUGGGGCUGAAGUAGGUCCCAAGGGUAUGGCUGUUCGCCAUUUAAAGUGGUACGCGAGCUGGGUUUAGAACGUCGUGAGACAGUUCGGUCCCUAUCUGCCGUGGGCGCUGGAGAACUGAGGGGGCUGCUCCUAGUACGAGAGGACCGGAGUGGACGCAUCACUGGUGUUCGGGUUGUCAUGCCAAUGGCACUGCCCGGUAGCUAAAUGCGGAAGAGAUAAGUGCUGAAAGCAUCUAAGCACGAAACUUGCCCCGAGAUGAGUUCUCCCUGAGACUUAAAGUCUCCUGAAGGAACGUUGAAGACGACGACGUUGAUAGGCCGGGUGUGUAAGCGCAGCGAUGCGUUGAGCUAACCGGUACUAAUGAACCGUGAGGCUUAACCCU